Molecule: long non-coding RNA, 876 nt
Organism: Vidua chalybeata
Lineage: Eukaryota; Metazoa; Chordata; Aves; Passeriformes; Viduidae
Exons: 2
Source: RefSeq, a predicted model, not a curated record
UGAGGCCACACAACCACAUGGUUCCUGGGCACGGAACCCACGUGGCUCUUCUCACAGGUGGAAUCACUGGGACUCCUUGUGCUGCUGAUGAAGAGAGGUUGGCUGGCAGAGCUGCCACUCCUUGCCCAAACCACAGAGCUCAAUGAGUACAGGCCUGCCCAGAGCUGGCACAAGCCUGGUCACAGUUCUGUCUGGCACACAGUGAAUUUUAUCUGCCCUCAAGGUACACCCACGGGCUGACCUGGACUGGCACCACCAAAAGGACCCUCCAGAGCCUGAGCUGGAUGAACCUUGGCUGCCAGUCUCCCACCCAGCUGCUGCCUCUCCUGGGCAGCUUUUUAGCAGCUUCACAUUUACUCCUUCCUCCAGGCUUGGUUAGGCUCGGUUUGAUCAGCACAGCUUUAGCCAGAUUCCCACUCAGGGUGGCUGGAAGCAGUUUUGUUCCUGCUGCACUUGACCCACAUGGUUUUGGGCUAUGCUUUGGAUGCCUGGAGUUCUGAGCAGCCUCUAAGCAGCAGGCAGGUGGUGUUCUUCAUGCUCCAAGGAGGCAACUGGCUGCUAUUCACCCCUGAUGCCUUGGGAUUUUAGCUUCUAUAUUUUUCAUAUAUUUGUAAUCCUGCACUUCUUUAGUGUAUAACUCUAAAUUCCAAAUACAGUGGGAGCUGCUGCUUUCCCAUUCUGGUCAGACACAACAAUUCCUCUCCAGGCCUGGCAAUCAAGGACACCUCACUGCCUCAGGCCCCAAAAAAAUGUAAACAAAAGUGAGUUGGGGGGAGCAAACUUGGGAUAAAUUACUUCAUUACCUGAAUCUGUAAUUGGAAGAUUAACCCCCAACAUGCAAAUGCACCAAACUUAUAAAAGUAUCAAAACCUGUGA